RNAcentral lists this long non-coding RNA (378 nucleotides) under Lathyrus oleraceus (garden pea). Its description in RNAcentral is "Pisum sativum (pea) long non-coding RNA (PSAT_LNC032146)". Lineage: Eukaryota; Viridiplantae; Streptophyta; Magnoliopsida; Fabales; Fabaceae. The record is from RNAcentral.
GUUUGAGUGUGUGAUUACUUUGGAGAUGAUAAGGAUAAGUUUAAACUUUUCUUGGAAUCAAAUUGAAAAUAAUGGUUGUUCUGUUGGAAGUUUUUAUCUAUGAAGCACGAACACCUGUUCUUGAACAGACACCGACACUGACACGACGACACCUGUUCUUGAACAGACACCGACACUGACACGACGACACCUGUAAUAAUUUGAAAAAAUGAAUAAAUUAAACGUAAUCACAAGUGUUGGUGUCGGUGUCCGACAUUGACGUCGACACGGGCAUACUUUUUUUCAGAAGUGUCGGUGCUAUAGAGGUUUUCAUUAACAUUAGCUGGGCCUGGGAAUCAUUUGAUUUUAGCUUUUUCUGUCAGAUUCUGAAUGCGGUGU